UAAGGCUGAUGGCGACCGGCGCACGGGUGAGUAACACGUAUCCAACCUGCCGUCUACUCUUGGCCAGCCUUCUGAAAGGAAGAUUAAUCCAGGAUGGCAUCAUGAGUUCACAUGUCCGCAUGAUUAAAGGUAUUUUCCGGUAGACGAUGGGGAUGCGUUCCAUUAGAUAGUAGGCGGGGUAACGGCCCACCUAGUCAACGAUGGAUAGGGGUUCUGAGAGGAAGGUCCCCCACAUUGGAACUGAGACACGGUCCAAACUCCUACGGGAGGCAGCAGUGAGGAAUAUUGGUCAAUGGGCGAUGGCCUGAACCAGCCAAGUAGCGUGAAGGAUGACUGCCCUAUGGGUUGUAAACUUCUUUUAUAAAGGAAUAAAGUCGGGUAUGCAUACCCGUUUGCAUGUACUUUAUGAAUAAGGAUCGGCUAACUCCGUGCCAGCAGCCGCGGUAAUACGGAGGAUCCGAGCGUUAUCCGGAUUUAUUGGGUUUAAAGGGAGCGUAGAUGGAUGUUUAAGUCAGUUGUGAAAGUUUGCGGCUCAACCGUAAAAUUGCAGUUGAUACUGGAUGUCUUGAGUGCAGUUGAGGCAGGCGGAAUUCGUGGUGUAGCGGUGAAAUGCUUAGAUAUCACGAAGAACUCCGAUUGCGAAGGCAGCCUGCUAAGCUGCAACUGACAUUGAGGCUCGAAAGUGUGGGUAUCAAACAGG
This 700-nucleotide ribosomal RNA is filed under the name uncultured Bacteroidales bacterium. Its description in RNAcentral is "bacterial SSU rRNA". It matches the Rfam family "Bacterial small subunit ribosomal RNA", at positions 80 to 776 of the family's 1533-position model. Lineage: Bacteria; Pseudomonadati; Bacteroidota; Bacteroidia; Bacteroidales. The record is from RNAcentral.